GCGGAGGAAAAGAAAAUAACAAUGAUUCCCCUAGUAACGGCGAGUGAACAGGGAAAAGCUCAAAGUUGGAACCUCCUGGUCCUAGAUYAGGCGGAUUGUAAACUAAAGCUCUUGGGUAGUACGGUUGGCCUGAUAAAAAAGUUCUCUGGAAAGAGGCGACAUAGAGGGUGAUAUCCCCGUCUUUGGUCAGAGCUCAAUCAUGCGUUUGCCCUUUAGCGAAGAGUCAGGUUGUUUGGGAAUGCAGCCUAAAAUGGGAGGUAAAUCUCUCCUAAAGCUAAAUAUUGACGAAAGACCGAUAGCGAACAAGUACCGUGAGGGAAAGAUGAAAAGCACUUUGAAAAGAGGGUCAAAAAGUACGUGAAAUUGCUGAAAGGGAACCGUAUGAAAUCAGUCUGAUGUGUUGGUAAUCAAUCUGGAUCUCGAUCUGGAUGCACUUGCCGAUGUAUUAGCCUGCGACAGUUUGAUCUGGAGGAAAAAAGAUGGGAGAAUGUGGCCUUGGCUUCGGUCAAGGUGUUAUAGCUCCUGUCAAAAUACUUUGGAUUGGACUGAGGACUGCAGCGAGCCGCAAGGUAAAGGUCUCGGGCGCUUGCUCUGGUUAUGUAAGAAAUCUCUGCUUCGGGUGGUAUCUUGCCUAAUCGGGACAACACGCUUGUUUCUCUUUUUUCUCGCUUAGGUCGUAGGCAUAAUGAUUUUAUAUGAC
RNAcentral lists this ribosomal RNA (700 nucleotides) under Absidia caerulea. Its description in RNAcentral is "eukaryotic LSU rRNA". It matches the Rfam family "Eukaryotic large subunit ribosomal RNA", at positions 50 to 648 of the family's 3401-position model. The record is from RNAcentral. Lineage: Eukaryota; Fungi; Mucoromycota; Mucoromycetes; Mucorales; Cunninghamellaceae.